Molecule: long non-coding RNA, 214 nt
Organism: Bufo bufo (common toad)
Lineage: Eukaryota; Metazoa; Chordata; Amphibia; Anura; Bufonidae
Exons: 3
Source: RefSeq, a predicted model, not a curated record
ACAGAUUGUCCUAGUGUCAUCCAUCAAGGAUGCCUAUCGCCCUCCUAUAUUACAUGGGAAUCUCUUUCAGAGGAAUGAUGCAAAUGUGAAGCCUUCGUUUAGCCCAUGUGGAGCCAGGCUACCAAGACGGAUUCACAAAUUCCUUUUUUGGUGUCAUCUUUUUGCAGAAUAUACAAUCGCCACACGGGUAGGACCCCUGAUUACUCAGCCAGGU